RNAcentral lists this long non-coding RNA (335 nucleotides) under Monodelphis domestica (gray short-tailed opossum). RNAcentral's name for it is "lncRNA (ENSMODG00000042708.1)". The record is from RNAcentral. Lineage: Eukaryota; Metazoa; Chordata; Mammalia; Didelphimorphia; Didelphidae.
AUGAGAAAACAGAUACACCUGCAUGGAAAUUACCCACUAAAGAGGCCAAUUCUGGUCCUGCCUGCUGCGGAGGCUCCCCAGGAGACCCCUAGUCUCAGGAUUUGUAGCUGUGUGCUCCAUCACUCGCAGACACAUGAACAGCAUGUCUCCUUCCAGAUUAAGAAACUGAAACUAAAACAACUGAACUGACUUGCCCAGGGUCAUACGGAUGAGCUGUGGUAUAGCUAGCUGGGAAUUAAUCAAUAGAAAUUAUAGCUGAGAGAAUCUCCGUUCUCAUGCAAUUCAAAAGUUUCAUUUUAUAAAUAAAGAAACUGACACCAGAAAGAAAAAGGACA